This is a long non-coding RNA of Grus americana (Whooping crane), 360 nucleotides long. RefSeq lists it as uncharacterized. The transcript is spliced from 3 exons. NCBI's taxonomy places the organism in Eukaryota, Metazoa, Chordata, Aves, Gruiformes, Gruidae. The record is from RefSeq and is a predicted model, not a curated record.
ACGCGCUUGAGGCAGUUACUCCGCCUCAGCGCCUCAGCCGGUGGGACCGGCGGGGUUAGGUUCCCCUGCGGCCUGCCUUCAGCUGUGGCAAGAUAAAGCCUUCUUCAAAAUUCAAAUGGAAGGAAAAGCCGAGGAAAAAAGAUGUUGCAAGAAAACCUUGUCAUUGUGACCUCCUGGGUGAUUUGAAAAUGAAAAUGCCUAAGCAAGGGAAGGGGAGAUCAAUUGGGACUGUAAAUGGAGAACUCUGAAUAUCAGAAGCUACUGGUCACCUUUGUGGUAGUGUUCUGGAAACUGGGAUGCUGAUGGCAAUGAGUAAGUUUUUGCUUAGUGACCGAACUCUCAUGCUAGAUGUCCUCAACC